CUCCCUUUUCCCUCUAUGCAUCUCUGAUUCUUUAGCUUUGAGCAAAAAAAAUCUCACUACAGAUGGGUACAUCUCUCUCCUUCUCUACUUUUUCUUCUUGCCAGAUCUAUAUGCUCUAUCUAGAUCAUAAUGUGACGGUGGCGUUCUCCUAUAUCCAUAUCGAAAUUAGAUGGUGUGCCGGAUGGUCGAUUCACAAUCCUUUAUGUAGAUGAGAUGCUAGAGGUUUAAUUUUGUUUUCAUCUACUCUUCCGCAGAUGCGAAGCCCAAACCUGAAGCCCAAACCCUCUCAUCCUCUCAGCAAUGCCGCCAUCGUCGUUGCUCUCCAAACCCGCAAUCUCACCGUUGUCCCUUGACACCUCCGACCCCCUCCGCGAUGCCAUUGAGGAGCUCCAGCGUCGCCAGCGCACCGAUGUUGUGCGAUUGGGAACCUCAAAGCUAUCUGCUAUCAUAUGGUGUCAGAGUUGGGGUUGAGAUGUCUCGCAUUUAAGCUGUCUCGCAGAUCGACCUUCUCUUCGCUGCUCGAUCUUAAGUGCAAUAUGCAAGAAGGGAUGGAGGGAAAUCCUGUUGCUAAAACCAUGAAGACUGUUUCAAGAGGCAUGGCUGUUCUUACAGUUCCGUUUACCAUGGACUUUCCAAAGAGUGUAGGCUGAGUUCCUUAUUUACUGGCUAUCAUUCUUAUGGGUGCCAACAAUAGCAAAGACAUACAUUUAAUCAAGCUUUGUGAGGUAUUACUUUAUGGCACAAGAAGCUUAUAACAGAAAGAGCAUAUUCAGGCAUUCUGAGUCACCAAGUAAUUAUCAGGUAUCGAUGCACCCAGUUUGGCAUGUUUCUGUGAAGUGGUUUUCGUUGUAACGUUUAGCUUCUUGUUUAUGUAUCUCUUCCAGCCACAAUCGAGAAUCAUAGCUGGUUCUGAAGGUAUCGAAGGCUUCAACCUGCUCAUGGAAAUGGGGUGUGUAUAUUAGCAAUAUGUACAACUUCAUGAGAGGUUUCAAGUGCCAUCUAUUAUCAUCGCCCAUGAGUUUUAUGAUGCUUUACCAGUUCAUCAAUUUCAGAGGGCUUGUCGUGGCUGGUGUGAGAAAAUGGUGGAUGUUGCAGAAGAUUCAAAGUAAGGAUGUAAUAUUAUGUCUGAUCAAAUUAGUGUUUUCAAGAGAAAUGGGUUAUAUAUUACUCAUAAACAUUGUUUAGGUUCCGUUUUCUUCUUUCUUCACAGCCUACACCAGCAACGCUUUAUCUGGAAAAACGCUGCAAAUGGGCUAGAAUGGAAGAAAUAGCGAAGCUUGAUCAUGUUGAGGUUUGCCCUGCAUCAAUGGAGUUGACUCAAAGUAUUGCUGAUAGAAUUGCUUCUGAUGGGGGUGGUGCUCUUGUAAUUGAUUAUGGUCAGAAUGGAGUAGUCUCUGACAGUCUGCAGGUCUGUUACCUUACCAUUGCUAGUUCUGCUAGUCUUCUGAGAUGUGAGCCAUGAGAUUUUUUGGCUGCUUCCUAACUUUUGCAAUGUCUCAAUUG
Rosa rugosa (rugosa rose) is the source of this 1503-nucleotide long non-coding RNA. RefSeq lists it as uncharacterized. The transcript has 7 exons. Lineage: Eukaryota; Viridiplantae; Streptophyta; Magnoliopsida; Rosales; Rosaceae. The record is from RefSeq and is a predicted model, not a curated record.